AAUCAACGCUGGCGGCGUGCCUAACACAUGCAAGUCGAACGAGAAAGUCCCGCAAGGGAUGAGUAAAGUGGCGACCGGGUGAGUAACACGUGACUAACCUACCUUCGAGUGGGGAAUAACCUCGGGAAACCGGGGCUAAUACCGCAUAACAUCGCGAGGUGAGAUUCCUUGUGAUCAAAGGAGCAAUUCGCUUGAAGAGGGGGUCGCGGCUGAUUAGCUAGUUGGUGAGGUAACGGCNCACCAAGGCGAUGAUCAGUAUCCGGCCCUGAGAGGGCGGCACGGACACACUGGAACUGAAACACGGUCCAGACUCCUACGGGAGGGCAGCAGUGGGGAAGUUUU
RNAcentral lists this ribosomal RNA (342 nucleotides) under uncultured bacterium. RNAcentral's name for it is "bacterial SSU rRNA". It matches the Rfam family "Bacterial small subunit ribosomal RNA", at positions 32 to 366 of the family's 1533-position model. The record is from RNAcentral.